UGCGUUCCUGGGCGGGGACAGGGUGUCUGGGGCCUCCAUGGCUGUGUGGAGCGUCCCCUGAGGCUGUGGGCCUCUGAGUGGAUCGAUGGGGUGGCCGGGAGUCAGGCCGGUCCUCCUUCUCCUCCUGCUGUCCAGACAGGGUGCUGCCUGCAGAGCCGAUCAGUGCUGCUUUCAGGACCGCCCAUAUCCAAGAGCAGACUCAGGCCUGGGGCAUCUUCUCUCCACAGGCUUGGCCUCUGGGCCCAGGGACUUGAGCUGCUACCGAAUACUCAAUGUCGGUUACGAGUGCUCCUGGCGGGAUGAGGGGUCAACAGCGGGGGGCAGCC
Long non-coding RNA from Tupaia belangeri chinensis (Chinese tree shrew), 326 nucleotides. RefSeq lists it as uncharacterized. The record is from RefSeq and is a predicted model, not a curated record. The transcript has 3 exons. NCBI's taxonomy places the organism in Eukaryota, Metazoa, Chordata, Mammalia, Scandentia, Tupaiidae.